Molecule: long non-coding RNA, 900 nt
Organism: Formica exsecta
Lineage: Eukaryota; Metazoa; Arthropoda; Insecta; Hymenoptera; Formicidae
Exons: 3
Source: RefSeq, a predicted model, not a curated record
AGUAGAAAAUAAUACUGAUAAAAAUAAUCAGUUCAGAGAUAUUACUAAUAUUACUUCUGAUACUACUACUUCUACUUCUAAUAACACUACAGUAAAAACUGCAUUGGUACAUCAUAAACUUGAUUCGAAUUUCGAACCAAAUAUUAGUGAGAAAGCAUUUGAAAAACGAGUUUUGAGAGAGUUGCACAUUAUCAGUUUGAAAAUUGAUGAUAUUUCUGAAAUUAUUAAUGCUCUACUGAAAGAUAAAGCAGAUAAAUCACAAAAAUCAUUUGUAUGUAAUAAUGUUCCCGAUAUUAUCCAAUCGUUUCCAGUAAAUCAUAAUUCUUUGGCUGAAUUAGAAAAUUGGUUAAUGAGUUCUAACGAGAAUAAAACAAUAUUGGCUCAAAAUUUAAGUCGUAUUGGAGGAUGUACUGUAAAAGAAGUUGUACGAAGGAUAAUGUAUCAUAUUUUUACGAAUGAAGUUGGCAUGUCCUAUUCAUGGGAAGGAGCCAAAAAAAAAGAAAGUUUUCAAAAAUUUAGCUCUGGCACCUAUUAUUCUUUAUAAGUUAAUCAAAUUAUUUUUAUAAAAGCUUUUCUCUUAUUCUCUUAUAUAAUACAUGUUAUAAUUCUCUUAAGAAUAGAGAUUACUAUAGAGUUUUUAUAUCUUUAAUAUCUAUUAGUCACACAUGUGUGUGCGUAAUAAAAAAAUGUCGUAUAAUAUCAUAAAUAUCUUUUAUAUAAAGUAGAUUUUUGUCUCGAGCAUAACAUAUUUUCGAGCAUCAUAACACGUUUCGAGCAUCGUAACACACAUGUUUUGAUAUCCUUUAUUUAUCGGCACAUAUUUAUAUCUCAUAUUUAGCAUUAAUAUAUGUGGCUCUAAUUUUAAUUCAAGUUUAGUUUAUAUAAAAAUUCAGUUAAUAU